AGCACACAGAACUUGGCCCCACACUUCUAUCAGACCUUGGCCCCCAGGGGAGAAGCCCUGGGGCAGCUCCUACUAGUGCCACUCCCUUAACCCAGCAAAGCAACAGGGAGGGAGGAGCAGUGCUCAGCCAAUGAGGCGACGCCCUGGAGCCCCACCCACCCAUGCUGGCCCCAGGACCCCAACCCCAGGCCAGACCCUCCAGCGCUCCUCCAGACCUUCCCUGUCUGCAGCCCGGCUUUGGACUGUGGAGAUGCCCUCAGCCUCUGCUCAGUGGCUCCAGCAUCGUAUUUGCGUGCUAUACAUUUAACCUCAAGCCCACUUGCUGCUAACUUAAACUGUGACUGUCCAGGACCUGCACACACACACACAUGCACACACGCGCGCACACACACACACACACACACGCACGCAGAAGGUGAACACACAGGAUGAGGCUCUGAAAACUCAUUUCACCCUGUACCUUGCCUAAAAAUUCCCCUUUGUACUCCUCUCUUUCUCUCUAAUUGACAGCAUGAAGGUAGCCCCAAGUCCCUUCACCCUGUCUGUCCUCCUCAUUCUCUAACUCAGUUCCCUCUAGCUGCAGCACAGACUCUAAUCCCCAGCCCUGACUGCAGAAACCCUCCAGCCCCAGCUCUAGCCCCGCAGGAGGGGACUCCGCGGGAGGAACAACUGCAGCAAGCCGGCAGCGGACCCAUCUCUGGCCUGCACUCCUCCCCCUGUGGUCCACGGCCGGUGGUCUUCAGCUCUCUCCUCGUCCCACUCCCAUGGUCUGCUGACAGCCCAGCCCAGCACAUCCCUGCCAUCUCUGCUCUACCGCUGGUCCUCCCAACAACCAGUAUACAGGUUUGGAGGCACACAUGAAGGUCUGAUGUGUAGUAAACACAUGUCAUGGGGAUUUGUUGUACAGAUUAUUACAUCACCCAGACAGGGUUUCACUCCCGUCACCCAGACUGGAGUACAAUGG
This is a long non-coding RNA of Cercocebus atys (sooty mangabey), 964 nucleotides long. RefSeq lists it as uncharacterized. The record is from RefSeq and is a predicted model, not a curated record. Lineage: Eukaryota; Metazoa; Chordata; Mammalia; Primates; Cercopithecidae. The transcript is spliced from 3 exons.